UCCUGGUUGUCUCAGUGGGUGGAGAAUGAGACUCUGGAUCUCAGAGUUGUAAGUUCGAGUCCCACAUUGGGUG
RNAcentral lists this transfer RNA (73 nucleotides) under Mustela putorius furo (domestic ferret). It matches the Rfam family "tRNA". From Rfam's summary of the family: Transfer RNA (tRNA) molecules are approximately 80 nucleotides in length. The record is from Rfam by way of RNAcentral. Lineage: Eukaryota; Metazoa; Chordata; Mammalia; Carnivora; Mustelidae.